Molecule: ribosomal RNA, 674 nt
Filed under: Nocardia globerula
Lineage: Bacteria; Bacillati; Actinomycetota; Actinomycetes; Mycobacteriales; Nocardiaceae
Description: bacterial SSU rRNA
Rfam family: Bacterial small subunit ribosomal RNA
Source: RNAcentral
UGCAAGUCGAGCGGUAAGGCCUUUCGGGGUACACGAGCGGCGAACGGGUGAGUAACACGUGGGUGAUCUGCCCUGCACUUCGGGAUAAGCCUGGGAAACUGGGUCUAAUACCGGAUAUGACCUCCUAUCGCAUGGUGGGUGGUGGAAAGAUUUAUCGGUGCAGGAUGGGCCCGCGGCCUAUCAGCUUGUUGGUGGGGUAAUGGCCUACCAAGGCGACGACGGGUAGCCGACCUGAGAGGGUGACCGGCCACACUGGGACUGAGACACGGCCCAGACUCCUACGGGAGGCAGCAGUGGGGAAUAUUGCACAAUGGGCGAAAGCCUGAUGCAGCGACGCCGCGUGAGGGACGACGGCCUUCGGGUUGUAAACCUCUUUCAGCAGGGACGCAAGUGACGGUACCUGCAGAAGAAGCACCGGCUAACUACGUGCCAGCAGCCGCGGUAAUACGUAGGGUGCAAGCGUUGUCCGGAAUUACUGGGCGUAAAGAGUUCGUAGGCGGUUUGUCACGUCGUUUGUGAAAACUCACAGCUCAACUGUGAGCCUGCAGGCGAUACGGGCAGACUUGAGUACUGCAGGGGAGACUGGAAUUCCUGGUGUAGCGGUGAAAUGCGCAGAUAUCAGGAGGAACACCGGUGGCGAAGGCGGGUCUCUGGGCAGUAACUGACGCUGAGGA